This 737-nucleotide ribosomal RNA is filed under the name uncultured bacterium. RNAcentral's name for it is "bacterial SSU rRNA". It matches the Rfam family "Bacterial small subunit ribosomal RNA", at positions 771 to 1501 of the family's 1533-position model. The record is from RNAcentral.
AACAGGAUUAGAUACCCUGGUAGUCCAUGCCGUAAACGUUGGGCACUAGGUGUGGGGGACAUUCCACGUUUUCCGCGCCGUAGCUAACGCAUUAAGUGCCCCGCCUGGGGAGUACGGCCGCAAGGCUAAAACUCAAAGGAAUUGACGGGGGCCCGCACAAGCGGCGGAGCAUGCGGAUUAAUUCGAUGCAACGCGAAGAACCUUACCAAGGCUUGACAUGUGCCAGACUGCCGUGGAAACACGGUUUCCCCUUUGGGGCUGGUUCACAGGUGGUGCAUGGUUGUCGUCAGCUCGUGUCGUGAGAUGUUGGGUUAAGUCCCGCAACGAGCGCAACCCUCGUUCCAUGUUGCCAGCGCGUAAAGGCGGGGACUCAUGGGAGACUGCCGGGGUCAACUCGGAGGAAGGUGGGGACGACGUCAAAUCAUCAUGCCCCUUAUGUCUUGGGCUUCACGCAUGCUACAAUGGCCGGUACAAUGGGUUGCGAUACUGUGAGGUGGAGCUAAUCCCAAAAAGCCGGUCUCAGUUCGGAUUGGGGUCUGCAACUCGACCCCAUGAAGUCGGAGUCGCUAGUAAUCGCAGAUCAGCAACGCUGCGGUGAAUACGUUCCCGGGCCUUGUACACACCGCCCGUCAAGUCACGAAAGUUGGUAACACCCGAAGCCGGUGGCCUAACCCCUUGUGGGAGGGAGCCGUCGAAGGUGGGACCGGCGAUUGGGACUAAGUCGUAACAAGGUAACC